AACGAACGCUGGCGGCAUGCCUAACACAUGCAAGUCGAACGAGACCUUCGGGUCUAGUGGCGCACGGGUGCGUAACGCGUGGGAAUCUGCCCUUGGGUUCGGAAUAACAGUUAGAAAUGACUGCUAAUACCGGAUAAUGUCUUCGGACCAAAGAUUUAUCGCCCAGGGAUGAGCCCGCGUAGGAUUAGCUAGUUGGUGAGGUAAAGGCUCACCAAGGCGACGAUCCUUAGCUGGUCUGAGAGGAUGAUCAGCCACACUGGGACUGAGACACGGCCCAGACUCCUACGGGAGGCAGCAGUCGGGAAUUUUGGGCAAUGGGCGAAAGCCUGACCCAGCAACGCCGCGUGAAGGAUGAAGUAUUUCGGUAUGUAAACUUCGAAAGAAUAGGAAGAAUAAAUGACGGUACUAUUUAUAAGGUCCGGCUAAUUACGUGCCAGCAGCCGCGGUAAU
This 450-nucleotide ribosomal RNA is filed under the name uncultured bacterium. RNAcentral describes it as "bacterial SSU rRNA". It matches the Rfam family "Bacterial small subunit ribosomal RNA", at positions 29 to 524 of the family's 1533-position model. The record is from RNAcentral.